GGGGAUAUAACUUAACUUGGUAAAGUGAUCGAUUUGCAAUCGGUAAGAUAUGAGUUCGAAUCUCGUUAUCUCAA
RNAcentral lists this transfer RNA (74 nucleotides) under Conidiobolus sp. RNAcentral's name for it is "tRNA-Ala". It matches the Rfam family "tRNA". From Rfam's summary of the family: Transfer RNA (tRNA) molecules are approximately 80 nucleotides in length. Lineage: Eukaryota; Fungi; Entomophthoromycota; Entomophthoromycetes; Entomophthorales; Conidiobolaceae. The record is from RNAcentral.